GCUGCACACUGUUAAAGCUUGAUGCUGAGGUCAGUUUCUGGCCGAUGAGCUCUCAAGUGUCGGAAGUGUGCUACAGCAAACCAGAUGGCAGGGUUUUCGCUAACACCAGGAGAGGAGCUUCCUCUACGAUUGGCGUUUGAUAGUAGUCCUUGCCACAUGC
Molecule: small nucleolar RNA, 160 nt
Organism: Apteryx haastii (Great spotted kiwi)
Lineage: Eukaryota; Metazoa; Chordata; Aves; Apterygiformes; Apterygidae
Source: Ensembl